This 179-nucleotide non-coding RNA is filed under the name Oceanobacillus massiliensis. The record is from RNAcentral. Lineage: Bacteria; Bacillati; Bacillota; Bacilli; Caryophanales; Bacillaceae.
AAUAAAGGUGACAUCACAUCAUAUGUCUUAAAAGGGAACCCGGUGCAAUUCCGGGACUGUCCCCGCAACUGUAAGUGUGGAUGAACGAGAAUACCACUGUAUUGACUGUAACUGUGCAGCGAUAUGGGAAGGACUCUAGUAAAAAGAAACACAAGUCAGGAGACCUGCCUUUAUUUGAA